GUUAAGCGACUAAGCGUACACGGUGGAUGCCCUGGCAGUCAGAGGCGAUGAAGGACGUGCUAAUCUGCGAUAAGCGUCGGUAAGGUGAUAUGAACCGUUAUAACCGGCGAUUUCCGAAUGGGGAAACCCAGUGUGUUUCGACACACUAUCAUUAACUGAAUCCAUAGGUUAAUGAGGCGAACCGGGGGAACUGAAACAUCUAAGUACCCCGAGGAAAAGAAAUCAACCGAGAUUCCCCCAGUAGCGGCGAGCGAACGGGGAGCAGCCCAGAGCCUGAAUCAGUGUGUGUGUUAGUGGAAGCGUCUGGAAAGGCGCGCGAUACAGGGUGACAGCCCCGUACACAAAAAUGCACAUGCUGUGAGCUCGAUGAGUAGGGCGGGACACGUGGUAUCCUGUCUGAAUAUGGGGGGACCAUCCUCCAAGGCUAAAUACUCCUGACUGACCGAUAGUGAACCAGUACCGUGAGGGAAAGGCGAAAAGAACCCCGGCGAGGGGAGUGAAAAAGAACCUGAAACCGUGUACGUACAAGCAGUGGGAGCACGCUUAGGCGUGUGACUGCGUACCUUUUGUAUAAUGGGUCAGCGACUUAUAUUCUGUAGCAAGGUUAACCGAAUAGGGGAGCCGAAGGGAAACCGAGUCUUAACUGGGCGUUAAGUUGCAGGGUAUAGACCCGAAACCCGGUGAUCUAGCCAUGGGCAGGUUGAAGGUUGGGUAACACUAACUGGAGGACCGAACCGACUAAUGUUGAAAAAUUAGCGGAUGACUUGUGGCUGGGGGUGAAAGGCCAAUCAAACCGGGAGAUAGCUGGUUCUCCCCGAAAGCUAUUUAGGUAGCGCCUCGUGAAUUCAUCUCCGGGGGUAGAGCACUGUUUCGGCAAGGGGGUCAUCCCGACUUACCAACCCGAUGCAAACUGCGAAUACCGGAGAAUGUUAUCACGGGAGACACACGGCGGGUGCUAACGUCCGUCGUGAAGAGGGAAACAACCCAGACCGCCAGCUAAGGUCCCAAAGUCAUGGUUAAGUGGGAAACGAUGUGGGAAGGCCCAGACAGCCAGGAUGUUGGCUUAGAAGCAGCCAUCAUUUAAAGAAAGCGUAAUAGCUCACUGGUCGAGUCGGCCUGCGCGGAAGAUGUAACGGGGCUAAACCAUGCACCGAAGCUGCGGCAGCGACGCUUAUGCGUUGUUGGGUAGGGGAGCGUUCUGUAAGCCUGCGAAGGUGUGCUGUGAGGCAUGCUGGAGGUAUCAGAAGUGCGAAUGCUGACAUAAGUAACGAUAAAGCGGGUGAAAAGCCCGCUCGCCGGAAGACCAAGGGUUCCUGUCCAACGUUAAUCGGGGCAGGGUGAGUCGACCCCUAAGGCGAGGCCGAAAGGCGUAGUCGAUGGGAAACAGGUUAAUAUUCCUGUACUUGGUGUUACUGCGAAGGGGGGACGGAGAAGGCUAUGUUGGCCGGGCGACGGUUGUCCCGGUUUAAGCGUGUAGGCUGGUUUUCCAGGCAAAUCCGGAAAAUCAAGGCUGAGGCGUGAUGACGAGGCACUACGGUGCUGAAGCAACAAAUGCCCUGCUUCCAGGAAAAGCCUCUAAGCAUCAGGUAACAUCAAAUCGUACCCCAAACCGACACAGGUGGUCAGGUAGAGAAUACCAAGGCGCUUGAGAGAACUCGGGUGAAGGAACUAGGCAAAAUGGUGCCGUAACUUCGGGAGAAGGCACGCUGAUAUGUAGGUGAAGUCCCUCGCGGAUGGAGCUGAAAUCAGUCGAAGAUACCAGCUGGCUGCAACUGUUUAUUAAAAACACAGCACUGUGCAAACACGAAAGUGGACGUAUACGGUGUGACGCCUGCCCGGUGCCGGAAGGUUAAUUGAUGGGGUUAGCCGCAAGGCGAAGCUCUUGAUCGAAGCCCCGGUAAACGGCGGCCGUAACUAUAACGGUCCUAAGGUAGCGAAAUUCCUUGUCGGGUAAGUUCCGACCUGCACGAAUGGCGUAAUGAUGGCCAGGCUGUCUCCACCCGAGACUCAGUGAAAUUGAACUCGCUGUGAAGAUGCAGUGUACCCGCGGCAAGACGGAAAGACCCCGUGAACCUUUACUAUAGCUUGACACUGAACAUUGAGCCUUGAUGUGUAGGAUAGGUGGGAGGCUUAGAAGUGUGGACGCCAGUCUGCAUGGAGCCGACCUUGAAAUACCACCCUU
RNAcentral lists this ribosomal RNA (2182 nucleotides) under Escherichia coli. RNAcentral describes it as "partial 23S ribosomal RNA". It matches the Rfam family "Bacterial large subunit ribosomal RNA", at positions 1 to 2207 of the family's 2925-position model. RNAcentral also lists the same sequence under 1 other name. The record is from RNAcentral. Lineage: Bacteria; Pseudomonadati; Pseudomonadota; Gammaproteobacteria; Enterobacterales; Enterobacteriaceae.